GGGGUUGUGGCUCAGUGGUAGAGCACUUAACCAGCAUGUGUGAGGCUCUGGGUUCGAUCCUCAACCCCA
Molecule: transfer RNA, 69 nt
Filed under: Ictidomys tridecemlineatus (thirteen-lined ground squirrel)
Lineage: Eukaryota; Metazoa; Chordata; Mammalia; Rodentia; Sciuridae
Description: Spermophilus tridecemlineatus (thirteen-lined ground squirrel) tRNA
Rfam family: tRNA
About the family: Transfer RNA (tRNA) molecules are approximately 80 nucleotides in length. Their secondary structure includes four short double-helical elements and three loops (D, anti-codon, and T loops).
Source: Rfam by way of RNAcentral